GUGAAUUAAAACAUGCUUGGUUGUCCUUUCGCUUCGGCAAGGCCCUUGCUUAAAUCACAUCCUAACAACCUGUGAACUGUAAGACGUAUGAUAGGUCUUUGGCCAAGUCAUCGUCUGCCCAUUUUUUAAACCAAACAAUUAAUUGUAACAAACGUAGUCUUAUUUAUAACCUAAUUA
RNAcentral lists this unclassified non-coding RNA (177 nucleotides) under soil metagenome. RNAcentral's name for it is "partial internal transcribed spacer 1". The record is from RNAcentral.